GCAGGACCCACUGGGCGUGACGCACGGGCGAGUGCGGGUGAGGGUGCAAUAUUUACCUUUACACAGGAUCGAGCGCCUGGCCCGGGAUUCGAACCGGCCGCCUUUCAUCCACAGGUCCAACUCCUGCCAAUGGUCCAAAUCCUUUGCUGCUGGACUACAUACUGCCACUACAGUUUGGGUUCCAGAGAGAAAAAAAGAGCAACAAUAUGAGUUAAUCUUCAGAAAUAUACAUCACAUUUCGAGAAGGAAGAGUGAAGAAGAGAAGGAUGAGGAGGAAGAGGAGGGUGAAAGAACUAGAUUGAAACAUUUCUCUGUUUUUAAAUAAAUAGAGAACUCUCACUCUCCUCCUCCUCCUCCUGUUCUGAUUGGAAGUGUGUUCGACCUUCAUCUCUCUCUGAGCCAGAGACAGCCCUCACAGCAGGAGACGCCUUCUACCCACAACCCCCUGCUGCGUGUUUCUACCACAGACAGAGGG
This is a long non-coding RNA of Oncorhynchus keta (chum salmon), 475 nucleotides long. RefSeq lists it as uncharacterized. NCBI's taxonomy places the organism in Eukaryota, Metazoa, Chordata, Actinopteri, Salmoniformes, Salmonidae. The record is from RefSeq and is a predicted model, not a curated record. The transcript is spliced from 3 exons.